AGAGCGAACGCUGGCGGCAGGCCUAAUACAUGCAAGUAGAACGCACCUUCGGGUGAGUGGCGGACGGGUGAGUAACACGUGGGAACGUGCCCUUUGGUUCGGAAUAAUCCGGGGAAACCUGGCCUAAUACCGGAUGUGCCCUUCGGGGGAAAGAUUUAUCGCCAUUGGAGCGGCCCGCGUCUGAUUAGCUUGUUGGUGGGGUAAUGGCCCACCAAGGCUACGAUCAGUAGCUGGUCUGAGAGGAUGAUCAGCCACACUGGGACUGAGACACGGCCCAGACUCCUACGGGAGGCAGCAGUAGGGAAUCUUGCGCAAUGGGCGAAAGCCUGACGCAGCCAUGCCGCGUGAAUGAUGAAGGUCUUAGGAUUGUAAAAUUCUUUCAGCGGGGAAGAUAAUGACUGUACCCGCAGAAGAAGCUCCGGCUAACUUCGUGCCAGCAGCCGC
This 444-nucleotide ribosomal RNA is filed under the name uncultured bacterium. Its description in RNAcentral is "SSU rRNA". It matches the Rfam family "Bacterial small subunit ribosomal RNA", at positions 26 to 518 of the family's 1533-position model. The record is from RNAcentral.